CAAGACAUAUGUUGCCUAUGAAGAUAAUCAAAUCGGAACGCUAUAUUAUGCACAGGAUAUUUUGAUUAAUAAUUGGGAUAUUAUUUAGUGCAGAUAAAAGUGUGAGACGUUCGUGUGGAAGCGAGUGUGGGUGUUUUUUUUACCGUGCAUGUAUUUGAAGUCGUAUAUAUUUCCAAGGUGGGCGGUCGGGUAUACGUCCGGGUAAUAAAGUACCCGAUUCUUGGAGUACUGUUUAUGUAGGAAAAAACGGUCCAGGUGAGGAAGACGGAAUAGGAGAGGAAGUCUGGUUGGCUUUGGAUUAGGAGAGACGAAGCCUGAAAGCAGGCGGGAAGACAGAAGGAACUGCUGCUAAAGAUGGCGAACGACGGGGCAGGCAAGACGGACGUCUCCUGUUGUACUUGUGACUUUUAGUGGUUAUACAACGACUACGAUUACCUAAACUAUCUCAAUGGUUCAGACUCCAGUUAUUCUUUUUAUAUUACGGUCAUAGAAUACGCCCGUUUGAAGCGAUGUACUGACUUUUGAAGGUACUACGACAGCGACAAAGUGCACAGGUACCGAAUGAACUAUAUAAGUGUCUGAAGUGCAUACUAGGUUUGACCGGACUCUAUCAAGUCCCAGAACUCGUACCUGUUGUUCGUCAGCUACUCCGACUAAAAUGACGAGUUCACAUAGUUGACUUUGAGGAACUUAUGCACCUUUUUUAAUUCUGGCCUGUCCACAAACCCGGACAUCAAUGACAGGAGGUGACGCACCUGAAGGUCUUCUCCUGAGACGGGGUACGUGUACAGGAACAAACCGACUUUUUCUAAUACCCGUCCCUAGACGCAGGUGAUUACAACUACUACUACGAGAACGCUAACGUGUACUAUUACGGUACCUCCGACGUGAAGCGACGAAACCUAGAUUAUUGAUUUCGGGACAGGUGUUUCUGUUCACUUUUAACGAAACGGUAACGACAAAAGUGUGCUAACCGGUUCACGGGUCUUAUCGGACAAUGAUACAAACAGCGUACAAAGGUUUGGUUCACAAACCGUUGGGGGUUAGUAUGUAAAGGAAUAAAUACUAGACUUGAUCCGAUAAAAGUACGAGAUACCUAUAGCAAUAAUUGGGAAACAACCACACGGGAGACAUGGAGUACCGAUAAAAUUAAAUGAUGUUUAUAAAUAAAUCGGUCCGAUGCAUUGCAUGCAUGUUAAAGUGACAUCGCACAGGACAAAACUUCAGGUAGGAGCGUACCAUUUGUAUGAACUAUAAAUUAGGAUGCCAAAUCCGCGAGUACUCGGAUGAUGACAACUUUUACGGGUUUAUUUAACAUGGCUGGGAUGUGUGUGGGCCGAAAAGGAGCCGGCAACGUAGAGAUCCGGGUCCAUACACGUUAAUGUUACCAUCAGAGCAAGGAUAGUGUGAGUAUUUAGGAUGUACGAGUUGGAUUGAUAUAUAGAAUGCGUCCGAAUUCAUCUUCUUUUGUUAUCUUCUUUUAAUUUUUGUUCCUUUUAUUAUUAUUUGCUUCUUUCCCUGUUUCCUUUUUCUAAGCCACCUCGGCAAGCGAUGGCGAAGUAUAAGCCGAGGAGUACCCGGUGUUCGCAGCGAUGAGCACCCGACUGAUUUACUAUGUACCCGGUAGUUUUUUGAUACGCCGGGUCGGCGUCGGAUGGAUACCGGGCUACCGCCAUUGAGAGUGGGGGCUCGGGGGCUGGUCCGCUCUGCGGGAAUAGGAGAGGAAGAGGAGAGCAGAAUAGGUAGGUAGAGGAGUGUGAGAAGGAGUAGCGGAUGAGUCUAGAUCGGACGCCGUCGUAGCUGCGGUUCGAGUUGUACCUUCGGUGCUUCCGACGACGGUUAACUGAGAAGGGCUGCCACAAGGAAGGCGUGGCAACACAAAAUGAAGGGAAACUAGGGAAGAGUACGGAAAAGGGAGCACGAACAAGAUCUAGGUGCUAAAGAAACGGCUGGACUGGUCGCGGGGAAGAGGGUGACGACUUGCAGCAGAAAGAGCCGUCCAGGGUCGUUACCGAAGACAAGAAGACGAACUACGAUACAAUCUCUUCCAACCGGAAGGUCGCCGGUGGAUGAGCCGCAAGGGUUGUCUCCCGUGCGCAGACCUCCAGUGGUAAUGGAAAAUGGGUUAGUUCUCGUUCGAGCCCUCCAGUGGACAGUUUCAAAGUUACAGAUGGAGUGUCGUGGUCCUAGAUCGUCUUCGAGUCCUAAUACACCGACGACGUCGUUAAUUCAUGUACCUACGAAUGCUCCCACGCCAAGGUUUUCUAAUGGUAAUACUAGUUGAUGCCUGACACCUUUUCCGUUUAUAUGAUAACCCAGUCGUCGAAUUCCGUUACUUCUCCCUGUUACGUAGAGACUUUGUUUUCGACUUUCUCUCGGAACCGUAUUUGUUCGAGGAGUCGUUUCCUACCCUACCUAGGAACUCGUGCCUUGUCUGGUAGUAGUUGUUGGAAUUGGUAGACCAGUUGUCGUCCGAUUCGGGUCCCAGAUGAGGUCUACUGGACCUCGAGUUAUUACAAGAAGAGUUACAUAUCCGGUCAACACUUAUGGAAGUCGUCAUGUGACUACUCCGGUACCAGUUGGAAGUUCUUUGACCACACAUAUAGGAAUACCGGUCCUCGUCAAUUGUCUGCUGCUACUCCUGGACGGUUGGAGUGAACUACUACUCGUCUAGAAGCUGUUACUUCCUUACGAGAUUACUAAAUACACAGCAUGGACUUCUAUUGAAGAUUGUCGGAACGUUCUUAGAAGUCUAGUGACGAUAGUAGUAAUCUCGAUCGACAACGAGGGAUGAUUAUAUCAAUAGAUAUCGGUAUACAUUAUAUAUAGGAUAGCGUGGUACCGUGUCAGCCAAGAAGGCUUCGAUAGACAACUCGGAAUUACUAUAUACACACAUACACUUGGAUUACUACAUUAUACAGGAUAGCUUGGUACGGUGAGAGGUAAUACGGUUUAGAUGACGAUCUACAAGUACGAAAUAAAUAAACAAAGCGAUGCGAGACGACACAAAUUUAGUAUACAGAUUAUCGUAAGAACCUAGAGAUUAUCG
This 3049-nucleotide ribosomal RNA is filed under the name Triticum aestivum (bread wheat). Its description in RNAcentral is "partial small subunit ribosomal RNA". The record is from RNAcentral. Lineage: Eukaryota; Viridiplantae; Streptophyta; Magnoliopsida; Poales; Poaceae.